GGUGCUGUGGUUUAGCUGGUCAAGGCGGCUGUCUUGUAAACAGGAGAUCCUGGGCUCAAAUCCCAGCAGUGCCU
Danio rerio (zebrafish) is the source of this 74-nucleotide non-coding RNA. The record is from Rfam. Lineage: Eukaryota; Metazoa; Chordata; Actinopteri; Cypriniformes; Danionidae.